RNAcentral lists this long non-coding RNA (2447 nucleotides) under Pongo abelii (Sumatran orangutan). RNAcentral's name for it is "lincRNA". The record is from RNAcentral. Lineage: Eukaryota; Metazoa; Chordata; Mammalia; Primates; Hominidae.
AGCUCUCACCUAAUGAUCUCCCUGCUCACUGCUGACCAGGACGCAGGUCAUUCCCCAUAAUAAUUAGCUCACAGGCAGAGUUUCCAGACGCUUCCAGGAGCAUCAAUCACCGGGAUGAAUGGGAAGCCCCUGUGUGGGAACUGCAGGGGGAGCUGGGUGGAGAGCCACCUCAGCGCUGUCACCCCGCGGCUGUCCCUGCCAUGCUUCCUUGGACCCCUAUCUACCCCCAGUUUUGGGUGACAGGACGAGUUAGGCCAGUUACCAGAGUACAAGACAUUUACUUUGUGGACUGCCAUUCAAUUUGACAACAGAUUUAUUUUUAAUGUGCACUUUCUGGAAACACGAUAUUGUUCCUCAAAGAAAUGAAUAAAAUGUUGCAAAUACAUAAGACAUCAUAACAGAUACCAGCCUGAGUCAAAGCUGGUAAAGAGGCCAAGAAUUCCCAAGCUUUCCCAGGCAAGUGGGGAAGAACACUGGGAUGCCUUUUCCUCCUCCUCUGUCCAUCUGCAGGCCAAGUGUACAUCAGUCACAGGCAAACUCUGAAUUGAGCUUUGUGCAAGUCUCUGGAAAGAGACCCAAAAUCGUGUGAUGAGCAAAAGUGACAGUGCUGGUGGCAGUGACAUCUGCAGAGCCAGCCCCAUCCCUAUCUGCAGCAGAAUACGUACGGGAAUCCUUUAUGUGAACAAUCCACCCAGGGUAGAAUGGGGCUUUUGACAUCAGCUGAGACCCAGGCGGCCUUACAAUGAGAGGCCUGUUGGUCAAAGGAAGGACUGUUUAAUGAACUGAGAAUCUGAGGCCAGCUCUGGCCAUCUGCACUUAGAAUCAUUAGAGCAACUCUACUGUAACUGGCAACAUUGAAUAAUGCAGCAAAUUCAUAUUCCAAAAUUGUGAACUUUAAAAUUCUGUGUUUGUGUCUAUGGUGAAAAGUAUUAUAUAAACAUUUGAUACUACCAUUUUAUUAGGAAGGAAGCCUGAAAAAAUAUCUCUCUUUUGACUCUGAGGUCAAUAAUGAUAAUGGUUUUUCCCCUACACUGGGAUAGAAAUGUUCUGUCAAGGAUAUGAAAGCACUUUAUGAAAAUGAAAUUCAUUAAAGCCCUUAAUAAUCAGUUAGGGAAGGCAGGUGCUCACAAUUGUCACCUCUUGGUGAGUGAACACACUGAGGCUCGGGGAGGACAAUGACUCAGGAACAAGGUCGAAUUGCAGGUAGGGGGUGAAGCUGAUCCCUAACAGCGUCCUCCAGCCCCUGGCACUGAGGAAGGACAUGGAGGGCUUGCAUCGACUUUUCCUGGCAGGCUUGUGAUUCCCAGCCAGAAUGCAGGUGGCAAUGUUGUGAUUCCUGGCGUAACCUUCAAUGCUUCAAUGAUAAUCUCUGCUGGUGCCAGGCACCAGCUGAGUGUCACUGUGCAGCUCCCAGGCUUAAGUGAUGCAUGCCGAGAUUUUCAGAGCAGUCUCUCAUUUAUUAGUUGUGUUGGAAAGAAAUCUGUACUACCUAACUGGGUACCUCUGGAUUUUAACAGCUGUGGUUUAUAAGAGAUUUGAGAGGGAGUUUGUUUUCAAAGUGCCUUUCACAAAGUAACACCUUAGAUUGUAGUUUACAUUCCAUUCCAGUAGGAUAACUUGCAACACUUCUGUGCUCAGAAAUCCAACUGUGCAAGAAAAGUCAGGUUAUAUUUUCAUACAGCCCAUUUUGGCAAAUAUGCCUUCACACCACUUUCCCUCCUCCUCACCACUAUUGGCAGUAGUCCCAAUGGAAGAGUUUUAUGUCAAAUGUUGAGUAUCUUGGAAGCUGUCCUGCACAGACACGACUGCUUGGCUGCGUGUUGGAGAGUCGUGGUUGGACUGGAAGACCAGGAAGGUCCCUUCUAGUCUGAGAUGUUAUGACUCUAGAACUAAUUAGUUUCAUCUCAUAACAUGAAAUGAUACUAGCUACCAUUUGGUGGGCUUUUUCUGUGUUCCAGGCUCUGUGCUAAGAUCUUAACAUUACUCUAAUUACAAAAUCUCUGCCAAUAUUAUCCUCAUUUUACACAAGAACAAAUGGGUUUAGGGAAAUCAAAAACUUGUCCAGUGACACAGAUUUAAGAUUUAACAACUGAUAGCCACGUGGAAAUGGAUUACAGAUUAUUCUAAUUUGACACUCUAAACCUGCAAUUUAACCAGAAUGAAAUUUAGGGCUGCGUGCUGUGGCUCAUGCCUGUAAUCCUAGCACUUUGGGAAGCCAGGCAUGUCCCUUAAGCCCAGGAGUUUGAGAGCAACUUGGGCAACAUGGUGAAACCUGUAUCUACGAAAAAUACAAAAAUUAGCCAGGUGAGGUGGUGUCUGCCUGUAGUUCCAGCUACUCGGGAGGCUGAGAGAUGGGAGGAUUGCUUGAGCCUAGGAGGUCGAGGCUGCUGUGAGCUGUGAUGGUUCCACUGCACUCCAGCCUGGGCAACAAAGACAGACUCCAUCUC